Molecule: ribosomal RNA, 301 nt
Filed under: Heterostylites longicornis
Lineage: Eukaryota; Metazoa; Arthropoda; Copepoda; Calanoida; Heterorhabdidae
Description: partial 16S rRNA
Source: RNAcentral
AAUUUGUUUUUUAAUUAAAAAAUAGUAUGAACGGGUUCACUUUUUAUAACAUUAUUAUUUUUAAACUUAAAAAUUAAAAUAUUAAUGCAAAUUUUAAUAAAAAAUUUUUAGACGAUAAGACCCUAUGAACCUUCAUAUAAAAUAAUUAGUUUUUAUUGUAGUUUUAAUAUAUUUAAUUGGGGAAAUAAAUAAUUAUAUUAUUAAAAAAUAUUUAUAAUUUUUGAGCCUAAAAGAAUUUAUAAAUUAGGUACUCUAGGGAUAACAGCAUAAUAAUUAGAAAAGACCAUAUUAGGAUAAUUGA